Transfer RNA from Fomitiporia mediterranea MF3/22, 107 nucleotides. It matches the Rfam family "tRNA". Rfam says of the family: Transfer RNA (tRNA) molecules are approximately 80 nucleotides in length. Their secondary structure includes four short double-helical elements and three loops (D, anti-codon, and T loops). Lineage: Eukaryota; Fungi; Basidiomycota; Agaricomycetes; Hymenochaetales; Hymenochaetaceae. The record is from Rfam.
GGCGAAGUGGCCGAGUGGUUAAGGCGCUAUGUUUAGGUAAUCAAGUUGUUACUUAACACUUAAAUCCGUAGUGGGAAACCUCGCGAGUUCGAAUCUCGUCUUCGUCA